GGAUGUAGCUCUGUGGUAGAACACUUGUCUACCAUACACAGGGUUCUGGGUUCGAAUCCCAGCACCA
Molecule: transfer RNA, 67 nt
Filed under: Mus musculus (house mouse)
Lineage: Eukaryota; Metazoa; Chordata; Mammalia; Rodentia; Muridae
Description: tRNA-Gly
Source: RNAcentral